Molecule: long non-coding RNA, 262 nt
Organism: Ipomoea nil (Japanese morning glory)
Lineage: Eukaryota; Viridiplantae; Streptophyta; Magnoliopsida; Solanales; Convolvulaceae
Exons: 3
Source: RefSeq, a predicted model, not a curated record
CUUCAACUCUAUCUUCUCUCUGUGAAUCUGCAUUCUGAAUGGUGGAUGUGUCGAACAUUGAUGAUCUCUACAGACCUGUAAUGAUUUGUGAGGAUGAUCGCACCACUUUAUGAACAUCUAAGGGACUGAGUUCUUCACACUCGAUAUUUUUUAUGGAGUUUUGUUAAUUGCAAAUUAAUGUUUCUUAUCAUGGCUGGCUUUGAAUCUGUUGUUUUCACAGUUUGCGCUUUGUUGUUUAUUGCAAAACUGCACUGAGCAAAGC